RNAcentral lists this transfer RNA (77 nucleotides) under Sporobacter termitidis DSM 10068. RNAcentral describes it as "tRNA_Pro_CGG". It matches the Rfam family "tRNA". From Rfam's summary of the family: Transfer RNA (tRNA) molecules are approximately 80 nucleotides in length. RNAcentral also lists the same sequence under 1 other name. Lineage: Bacteria; Bacillati; Bacillota; Clostridia; Eubacteriales; Oscillospiraceae. The record is from RNAcentral.
CGGGGUGUAGCGCAGCUUGGUAGCGCGCAUGGUUCGGGACCAUGAGGCCGGGAGUUCGAGUCUCCCCACUCCGACCA